RNAcentral lists this ribosomal RNA (565 nucleotides) under uncultured bacterium. RNAcentral's name for it is "partial 16S ribosomal RNA". It matches the Rfam family "Bacterial small subunit ribosomal RNA", at positions 355 to 912 of the family's 1533-position model. The record is from RNAcentral.
UGGGGAAUUUUGGACAAUGGGCGAAAGCCUGAUCCAGCAAUGCCGCGUGUGUGAAGAAGGCCUUCGGGUUGUAAAGCACUUUUGUCCGGAAAGAAAUCCUUGGCUCUAAUACAGUCGGGGGAUGACGGUACCGGAAGAAUAAGCACCGGCUAACUACGUGCCAGCAGCCGCGGUAAUACGUAGGGUGCAAGCAUUAAUCGGAAUUACUGGGCGUAAAGCGUGCGCAGGCGGUUUGCUAAGACCGAUGUGAAAUCCCCGGGCUCAACCUGGGAACUGCAUUGGUGACUGGCAGGCUAGAGUAUGGCAGAGGGGGGUAGAAUUCCACGUGUAGCAGUGAAAUGCGUAGAGAUGUGGAGGAAUACCGAUGGCGAAGGCAGCCCCCUGGGCCAAAUACUGACGCUCAUGCACGAAAGCGUGGGGAGCAAACAGGAUUAGAUACCCUGGUAGUCCACGCCCUAAGCGAUGUCAACUAGUUGUUGGGGAUUCAUUUCCUUAGUAACGUAGCUAACGCGUGAAGUUGACCGCCUGGGGAGUACGGUCGCAAGAUUAAAACUUAAAUGAAUUG